UACUCCGGGGAUAACAGGCUGAUCUCCCCCAAGAGUUCACAUCGACGGGGAGGUUUGGCACCUCGAUGUCGGCUCAUCGCAUCCUGGGGCGGUAGUACGUCCCAAGGGUUGGGCUGUUCGCCCAUGAAAGCGGUACGCGAGCUGGGUUCAGAACGUCGUGAGACAGUUCGGUCCAUAUCCGGUGUAGGCGUUAGAAUAUUGAGAGGAGCCUUCUUUAGUACGAGAGGACCGAGAAGGACAUACCUCUGGUGUACCAGUUAUCGUGCCAACGGUAAACGCUGGGUAGCUAUGUAUGGAGUGGAUAACCGCUGAAAGCAUCUAAGUGGGAAGCCCACCUCAAGAUAAGUAUUCUCAUCAUGUAAGUGAGUAAGGUCACGGGAAGACUACCCGUUUGAUAGGCAUUAAGUGUAAAUGUAGUAAUAUAUGAGCUGAGAUGUGCUAACAGACCGA
Molecule: ribosomal RNA, 450 nt
Filed under: Kryptoperidinium foliaceum
Lineage: Eukaryota; Dinophyceae; Peridiniales; Kryptoperidiniaceae
Description: partial Bacterial large subunit ribosomal RNA
Rfam family: Bacterial large subunit ribosomal RNA
Source: RNAcentral